UCCAGGGUAGCCUAGUGGGCAUGGCAUCUACCCGGAACACUGUGGGUUCGAUUCCCAUCCCUGAAC
Cordylochernes scorpioides is the source of this 66-nucleotide non-coding RNA. The record is from the annotation of a GenBank genome assembly. Lineage: Eukaryota; Metazoa; Arthropoda; Arachnida; Pseudoscorpiones; Chernetidae.